Oncorhynchus keta (chum salmon) is the source of this 1142-nucleotide long non-coding RNA. RefSeq lists it as uncharacterized. Lineage: Eukaryota; Metazoa; Chordata; Actinopteri; Salmoniformes; Salmonidae. The record is from RefSeq and is a predicted model, not a curated record. The transcript is spliced from 3 exons.
UUCUCUAGUUAGAGGGGUAAUAACCCUGUGUUUCUCUAGUUAGAGGGGGAAUAACCCUGUGUUUCUCUAUUUAAGGGGGAAUAACCCUGUGUUUCUCUAGUUAGAGGGGGAAUAACCCUGUGUUUCUCUAUUUAAGGGGGAAUAACCCUGUGUUUCUCUAUUUAAGGGGGAAUAACCCUGUGUUUCUCUAGUUAGAGGGGGAAUAACCCUGUGUUUCUCUAGUUAGAGGGGGAAUAACCCUGUGUUUCUCUAUUUAAGGGGGAAUAACCCUGUGUUUCUCUAGUUAGAGGGGGAAUAACCCUGUGUUUCUCUAUUUAAGGGGGAAUAACCCUGUGUUUCUCUAGUUAGAGGGGGAAUAACCCUGUGUUUCUCUAUUUAAGGGGGAAUAACCCUGUGUUUCUCUAGUUAGAGGGGGAAUAACCCUGUGUUUCUCUAGUUAGAGGGGGAAUAACCCUGUGUUUCUCUAUUUAAGGGGGAAUAACCCUGUGUUUCUCUAGUUAGAGGGGGAAUAACCCUGUGUUUCUCUAUUUAAGGGGGAAUAACCCUGUGUUUCUCUAUUUAAGGGGGAAUAACCCUGUGUUUCUCUAGUUAGAGGGGGAAUAACCCUGUGUUUCUCUAGUUAGAGGGGGAAUAACCCUGUGUUUCUCUAGUUAAGGGGGAAUAACCCUGUGUUUCUCUAGUUAAGGGGGAAUAACCCUGUGUUUCUCUAGUUAGAGGGGGAAUAACCCUGUGUUUCUCUAGUUAGAGGGGGAAUAACCCUGUGUUUCUCUAGUUAAGGGGGAAUAACCCUGUGUUUCUCUAUUUAAGGGGGAAUAACCCUGUGUUUCUCUAUUUAAGGGGGAAUAACCCUGUGUUUCUCUAGUUAGAGGGGGAAUAACCCUGUGUUUCUCUAGUUAGAGGGGGAAUAACCCUGUGUUUCUCUAGUUAGAGGGGGAAUAACCCUGUGUUUCUCUAGUUAGAGGGGGAAUAACCCUGUGUUUCUCUAGUUAGAGGGGGAAUAACCCUGUGUUUCUCUAGUUAGAGGGGGAAUAACCCUGUGUUUCUCUAUUUAAGGGGGAAUAACCCUGUGUUUCUCUAGUUAGAGGGGGAAUAACCCUGUGUUUCUCUAUUUAAGGGGGAAUAACCCUGUGUUUCUCUAGUUA